CUAACAAGGAUUUUCUUAGUAGCGGCGAGCGAAAAGAAAUCAGUUCAGCACUAAGUCACUUUAUCUUUAUGGUAAAUGUGAGAUGCAGUGUAUGGAACGUCUUAAAUCUAAUAUGAGAAAUUAACGAUUUAAGUCCUUCUUAAAUGAGGCCAUUUACCCAUAGAGGGUGCCAGGCCCGUAUAACGUUAAUGAUUAUUAGAAGACGUUUCCUAAGAGUCGUGUUGCUUGAUAGUGCAGCACUAAGUUGGUGGUAAACUCCAUCUAAAACUAAAUAUAACCAUGAGACCGAUAGCAAACAAGUACCGUGAGGGAAAGUUGAAAAGAACUCUGAAUAGAGAGUUAAAUAGUACGUGAAACUGCUUAGAGGUUAAGCCCGAUGAACCUGAAUAUCCAUUAUGGAAAAUUCAUCAUUAAAAUUGUAAUUAAUAUAAUUUUAUUAUUAUAUUGUUAUAAUGAUAGUGUGCAUUUUUUCCAUAUAAGGACAUUGUAAUCUAUUAAUAUAUAUACAAAAAUAUUUAUCAUAAAAUCAUGAGAUUAUAGUUUAAUCAAAUUAUUUUGUCAUUAACGUGUCAUUAUAACAUAGAUUAAAUUCUUAUUGAUUUGAUAAAGUAUUGAUAGAUUUAUCAUAUAUACGAUGCUUUAAUUUCUUUAUUGAAAUUAUAUAAUAUCAUAUUGAUCAUUGAUUUAUAUGUUCAUUAUAUGCAUUUGUAUGAUUAACAAUGCGAAAGAUUCAGGAUACCUUCGGGACCCGUCUUGAAACACGGACCAAGGAGUCUAACAUAUAUGCAAGUCAUUGGGAUUUUAUAAACCUAAUGGCAUAAUUAACUUGACUAUUAUAUUAAAUGGGAUUAGUUUUGAAUUAUAUUUUUUAUUAAAUAUGUUUUUAACACAAUCCCGGGGCGUUCUAUAUGGUUAUGUAUAAUGAUAUUU
Molecule: ribosomal RNA, 930 nt
Filed under: Parastegana femorata
Lineage: Eukaryota; Metazoa; Arthropoda; Insecta; Diptera; Drosophilidae
Description: eukaryotic LSU rRNA
Rfam family: Eukaryotic large subunit ribosomal RNA
Source: RNAcentral